AUGUCUAAGUAUAAGCACUUUGUACUGUGAAACUGCGAAUGGCUCAUUAAAUCAGUUAUAGUUUAUUUGAUCGUACCUUACUACUUGGAUAACCGUGGUAAUUCUAGUGCUAAUACAUGCUUUCAGCCCCGACUUCAGGAAGGGGAGUAUUUAUUAGAUAAAAACCAAUCGUAGCAAUACGUUUUCAGGUGAAUCAUGAUAACUAUUCGAAUCGCAUGGCUUUGCCGGCGAUGGUUCAUUCAAAUUUCUGCCCUAUCAACUUUCGAUGGUAGUAUAGAGGACUACCAUGGUUAUAACGGGUAACGGAGAAUUAGGGUUCGAUUCCGGAGAGGGAGCCUGAGAAACGGCUACCACAUCCAAGGAAGGCAGCAGGCGCGCAAAUUACCCAAUCCCGAUUCGGGGAGGUAGUGACAAUAAAUAACAAUACAGAGCUUUAGAGUUUUGUAAUUGUAAUGAGAACAAUUUAAACCUCUUACCGAGAACCAAUUGGAGGGCAAGUCUGGUGCCAGCAGCCGCGGUAAUUCCAGCUCCAAUAGCGUAUAUUAAAGUUGUUGCAGUUAAAAAGCUCGUAGUUGAACUUUUGGCUUGGCUGGGCGGUCUCUCAUUGAGUAGUACUUUCUGGCCUCGUCUUUCCUUCUGGAGAAGUAUGGUGCUAUUCAUUUAGUGCUGUAGGGAACCAGGACUUUUACUUUGAAAAAAUUAGAGUGUUUAAAGCAGGCUUGGCUUGAAUACAUUAGCAUGGAAUAAUAAAAUAGGACUUUGGUUUUAUUUUGUUGGUUUUCUCAACCAAAGUAAUGAUUGAUAGGGACAGUUGGGGGCAUUUGUAUUGAGCCGUCAGAGGUGAAAUUCUUGGAUUGGCUCAAGACAAACUUCUGCGAAAGCAUUUGCCAAGGAUGUUUUCAUUAAUCAAGAACGAAAGUUAGGGGAUCGAAGACGAUCAGAUACCGUCGUAGUCUUAACCAUAAACUAUGCCGACUAGGGAUCGGACGAGAUCAAUUGAGACUUGUUCGGCACCUUGAGAGAAAUC
Molecule: ribosomal RNA, 1027 nt
Filed under: Kappamyces sp.
Lineage: Eukaryota; Fungi; Chytridiomycota; Chytridiomycetes; Rhizophydiales; Kappamycetaceae
Description: SSU rRNA
Rfam family: Eukaryotic small subunit ribosomal RNA
Source: RNAcentral